This 517-nucleotide ribosomal RNA is filed under the name Fusarium culmorum. Its description in RNAcentral is "eukaryotic LSU rRNA". The stretch from base 190 to 343 matches the Rfam family "5.8S ribosomal RNA". Lineage: Eukaryota; Fungi; Ascomycota; Sordariomycetes; Hypocreales; Nectriaceae. The record is from RNAcentral.
GUAACAAGGUCUCCGUUGGUGAACCAGCGGAGGGAUCAUUACCGAGUUUACAACUCCCAAACCCCUGUGAACAUACCUUAUGUUGCCUCGGCGGAUCAGCCCGCGCCCCGUAAAAAGGGACGGCCCGCCGCAGGAACCCUAAACUCUGUUUUUAGUGGAACUUCUGAGUAUAAAAAACAAAUAAAUCAAAACUUUCAACAACGGAUCUCUUGGUUCUGGCAUCGAUGAAGAACGCAGCAAAAUGCGAUAAGUAAUGUGAAUUGCAGAAUUCAGUGAAUCAUCGAAUCUUUGAACGCACAUUGCGCCCGCCAGUAUUCUGGCGGGCAUGCCUGUUCGAGCGUCAUUUCAACCCUCAAGCCCAGCUUGGUGUUGGGAGCUGCAGUCCUGCUGCACUCCCCAAAUACAUUGGCGGUCACGUCGAGCUUCCAUAGCGUAGUAAUUUACACAUCGUUACUGGUAAUCGUCGCGGCCACGCCGUUAAACCCCAACUUCUGAAUGUUGACCUCGGAUCAGGUAG